Oreochromis aureus is the source of this 4733-nucleotide long non-coding RNA. NCBI's taxonomy places the organism in Eukaryota, Metazoa, Chordata, Actinopteri, Cichliformes, Cichlidae. The record is from Ensembl.
ACAACUCAGAGCCAUGGGGGCCAUUUCACCAGAGAACUCUGAUUAUCAUCAAAGUCAGACUGAAGACAAAUUCAGUCUAAAACUAAACCAGAGGAGAAUCAGACUGUGGGAACUGAAGUCUUUACCUGAUUUGCAAGCAGCUUUAUGAAUGUUUGUUAUGAAGUUCAUGCAAGGCAGUGAUAUCCUCUGCUCUGAAAUGAGUGAUUCUGUCAGUGAGUCCACAUUUAACAGAGUUGCGACACACUGACUAAGAGUCAGUCAACAUUCUUUAGCGUGAUCUCCUUUUGCCUGUAUGGUGUUCAUCACAGCAGAAACAGACGCCCCCUGCUGUCUGUGUGUGUAAUUCAACGCUCAACUAUUUUUAAAAAUCGUUAUUAAACAUAUAAAUCUCAUUUUCUAGCAUAGAUAAAGUAUAUCUUGCUUACAUUAAAGGGUGGUAAACCAAUUCACAGUGCUGUAAAAAGUGUUUAGCCUCCUCCUGGUUUCUCAGUUUGCUGCAUAUUGUGCAAAGCAGAGUGGGUAAAAUUCCUCCACAGUGGUGUGAGAGACUCAUCAACAGUUAUUACUAAUGUUUGAUUGCCCCUGCCAGUAGUAACAUAACCAUGUACCAGGUUUGGGGGAGGAUUACUUCUUCACGUGAUCCCAGGAAGGUUAGGAUAAUUUUUUUCCCCUUAACAAAUGAAAUCAUCAUUUCAAAGCUGCAUUUUCUAUUUCCUUGGAUUAUACUUGCCAAAUAUUAACAUUUGUUUGAGGAUUUCAAACAUGCAAGUGUCUCAAAUAUGGAAAAACAGAGAAAUCUGAUCUUAUGUGCAGUCUCCCUCCCCAUUUCGUGCACUUUCAAUGUUCAUAUAAUAAUAGCUGAAUGUGGAUUUAAGGCAGUUCACAGAUGAACAGUAGAGAGCAGCAAACCUCCAACUCUGCAUCCAGUCUGAAGGAUGAGGCAGAUGGGCUGAAGCAGAAAACCUGCGAUUGAACAGUGGAGACUGUGUCCAGUUAGACAAGAGUACAAGUGCUCACAGCACCCUAACGCACGAAGAAGAAGCAGCUCUUCAGAUGUUACUGCUACUGCCGACGAAGAUGAACAUGUCCAGAAGAGCCGUGCUGGGUUUGAUUCUCCUUUGUCUGUCACCAUCAUCAUCUUCUGGAGACUCCUCAACCCUCAACAUUUUGCCUGGAGAUAAUGUCAUUCUGCCAUGUUACGUUCCAAAUGAUCAAUCAAUUGGGGCUGUGAUGUGGACCAGGUCUUACCUGAAUUCAAAAUAUGUAUUUUUUUACCAGAGCAAUGCAUCUGAUCCAGACACUCAGAAGUCACCUUCUCUGAGACGCAUACAUGUGCUGGAGGAUGGUGAAUCGUCUUUGUUUAUAGUGGAAGCAACAUUUGCUGAGAUUGGAACGUAUGAGUGUCAUGUCGCCCAGACAGGAACAAACAACUCUACGGCGGCCAUUUUGAAGACCGAGCCAAUCAACACUGUCAAGCUGACAAUGGAACCGAUGAAAGUCUUAGUUGCACCUGGAGACAUUGCCAUUCUGCCAUGCGAGGUUCCAAAUAAGGAAUCCAUUGGAGCUGUGAUGUGGAUCAGAUCUGACUUGAAUCCAGAAAAAGAACUUUUUUACCAGAGCAAUGCAUCUGAUCCAAGCACUCAGCCGCCACAUUAUGUGAACCGUGUACGUCUAGUAAAUACAGACAUGGAGAAUGGUGAACUGUCAUUGUUUCUGUAUGACACGACUUUUGGUGAUGAUGGAACGUACGAGUGUCAUGUCACCCAGGUAGGAACAAGCAACUCUAAGGCAGCCAUUUUGAAGACUACGCCCAUCAAAAUCAUCAAGCUGACAGUGGAACCAGUAGAAGAAGAGUUUGAGGUUGGCCAGAGUUUGGAAGCAUGUGAUCCAUCUGUGUUUUUUCAGCCACUUGUUUUUGCUAUGGGAAUUAUGGUUGUCAUCAUAGGUAUUUUGAAAUAUUGUUUUGGCUGGCAUAAGGCAGCUCCAUGCACAGCCAACCUGCUUGUUAAAAACUAACAUUUUUCUGUAACCUUUUCGAACUUCUUCAGUGUUAGGUUUAGUUAUUAAUGUAUUCCUAUUCAUGUAAUUCAUUCAUGUUUAAGAGUUUGUUAAAAUGAACUGUAAAGAGCCCAGGUGGUAUGUUACAUGUUUUGUGAGGUUCUUUUGGUCAAACAUUGAGGGUUGGCUCUAAUGUAGGAUUUGAGGAUGAUGGCAAAGAAAGACAGUAGGCUGAGCUGAAGGUGAGAGAGUUGGAGAUGUUAAGAUUUUGACUAUGAGUGACCAGAAUGGACAAAAUUAGAAAUUAGUAUAUCAGAGGAACAGGUAAGGCUGAGCAGUUUAGAGACUGAAAAAAAAGCAAAGUGGAAACCGUUUGGACACUUAAAGUGGAGAUACAGUGUAUAUACCGGACAAAGGCUUUUGAAGAUGGAGGAAGACCACAAAGAAGGUCUGUGGAUUGAGUGAAGAAGGAUAGCAAGAGUGCUAGUGUAACGAGGAGGAUGCAAGGGAUAGGGUGAGAAGCAGGUAGAUGAUCGGAAAAGUAAAUUAGCCUUACCACAUGUAGUGUUUCCUGUCUACAUUAGCAUUAGUUUUAUUGUUUCAUGUGCAGCUUCUGAGCUUUCUGAGAAAAAAAAAAAAACAUGUUGCUUUAAAAAAAAAACAGGAAAACUUUAUGUGGUUUUAAUACUACACACGAUAGCAGUGUGACUAAUGCAGACAGCAAUCGUAGCAAUGGUGGUUGAAUUUUCUGGUUCUCCAACAUCCAAAAAAAACCUAAAAAUAAAUGUAGCUUAGAGUGAGUUUUUAAAUCCAGGCUGCAGACGAUCCGAGUGCACUCUUACUGUUUUUCAUGUUAAAAAUGUGUUUAUUUGUUGAAAUGUAGUCAUUAAAUGUUUAAAUGUCCCAUGUAUGUAUAAGUGUCGGAAAUCACAAAAAUUGGUUUAACUGGAUACAAAAUGUGUCUUUUUUGUUUGAUUGAUAUUUGUAACUUUAGUUGAUUAAUUAGAUGUAAAAAUUAAAUGCAUCAUUUGGCCAGAGUCUAGGUUUGUCAGCUUUGGAGUAAAAAUGAAGUUGGGUAAAAUGAGGAGUAAACAACCCUGAACAGGAAAAAAUAGUUAUUCCCUUUUUUGUGAAAGAAAUAUAAAUAAUGGUGUACAACAGAGGUCCCUAAGACCCGCACCACGGACUGGUGCCGGCCCAAGAGUCAUUUGGUACCAGGCCUUGAGAGCUGAGGCUCGGGUGUGAAGUUUAUGGUUUUCAGGGUUUUUAUCAGUUUUUAUCGUUAUUUUUUUUAAUCAAUUUUAUCAUUAUCUCGGUUUCCCUGGGUCUUUUCCCGUGUGUUAUGAAUAAAUCUUCUUUAUUCGGUACCGGUACUGGUUUUAAUAUUGUUGUAUUUAUCUGUGACAACUUAAAGGCUGGUCCAUGAAAAUACUGUCAGACAUAAACCAGUCCAUGACGCAAAAAAGUUUGGGGACCGCUGGCCUACAAUGACGCACAGCCCUCAGUCCACUGCACUCAAGUAGAGUAUUUACCUGUUGCCAUGGUUAAUCUAUUUAUGACUAUCCGUCGAAGCACUCAGCUUUGAGUGAAUCAGCCUUAAUCAUCUUUCCUGGAAAUGAAAACUCUGAAUUUUCCUCCUGUUACAUUUUUUUCUAACAUCAUCAUAAUUACACUGUCUCUUUCGUGUUAUUUUAUGUUUUGAAAGGGUUGGUAGUAACAGCAGGUUUUAAAUCAAAAUCAGCAUUUCUACACAUAGAAAACUCACAAUUUAGAAAAGGUAAUUUAUUAAUACACAUUACUUUGUUCUAAAUAAUUAUAGUAUAAAACAAUGUUUUAAAAAUCAAUUUUAUUUCUGGGUAAACACUCAUGUCUACAGAAAGUGUCCUUAAAGUUCAAUAUUAUUGACACAGUCACUGUAUCAGUAAAACUGUGCUGUAUCUACUGCUGAUGACUGCCAUCAUUCAGCUUUUUAAUUUUUUUUCUAUCAGGAUUUGUUCUAUAAAGACACCAAUGUAACUCUACAUAUGCAACAAAAAAAGAAAAUUAUACAGAACAUGAAUUGGAAUAAAUACAAAAUGACUAAGAGCAAUAAACACCAUUCAGCUUCAAAAAUUCAGUCAAGUCCCUGCAAUGGCCAGUCUUAAAAUUCAGUGUUUUCUCUGAGCAGCAGUGUAAAAUCCAAAGAGAUUCACAUGUGCCAAAAAAUGCAUCAAAUGCUGUCAUUUAUAAGGUUCGUUGCACUAAUAAGAGGUUUGGUUUUAAUUUUUAUUUGCUGAAGUCUUAAAAUCUUAAAGAAAAUGUAUUUUUAUUGUUAACCCUGUAACACCCAACUCAUCAAAAAAUAGCCAGAAACUUCAGAUAUUUGGGAACUGAGAUGUUUAUUAACCCUUAUAACGACAUCCACCAUUUCUAUUUAUUCAUUUAUUUUUUUGCUAUAUCAUGUUGUGUAUGAUGUAUUUUUAUUAUAUAUUUUUUGCAUCACAUUCCAUACAUUGGGCAUUUUUGGCAGUUUUUUGUUAACAACAAUAGUAAUUUUAAUUAUAGACAAAAAAAAGAGUUUUGUCCAUAACAUUAUGGCAAGUAUUGAUCAAGUUGAUGAGAUAGAGGUCACAGAAACUCAUGUAUCAAGUAUGAUACAAAGGGCACUAUAGGGUUAAAAUUAUGCAGAAGUCCUGGCUCAGAUGUUAGUUUGAUGCUGCAAAUGUUUUGUUGUGACUGUAAAUUGUUGUUGCGAC